Molecule: small RNA, 28 nt
Filed under: Bombyx mori (domestic silkworm)
Lineage: Eukaryota; Metazoa; Arthropoda; Insecta; Lepidoptera; Bombycidae
Description: piRNA piR-bmo-2180177
Source: RNAcentral
UAGUUGGGCGUGACUACGAUCUUAGGCA